Molecule: long non-coding RNA, 1277 nt
Filed under: Cyanistes caeruleus (blue tit)
Lineage: Eukaryota; Metazoa; Chordata; Aves; Passeriformes; Paridae
Description: lncRNA (ENSCCEG00000003474.1)
Source: RNAcentral
CUGCGUUCCAGAUGUUUUUCCAGCUGUUUUUCCAGCUGUGUUCCAGCUGUUUUCCCCAGCUGCGUUCCAGAUGUUUUUCCAGCUGUUUUUCCAGCUGUGUUCCAGCUGUUUUUUCCAGCUGUUUUUCCAGCUGCGUUCCAGAUGUUUUUCCAGCUGUUUUUCCAGAUGUUUUUCCAGAUGUUUUUUCCAGCUGUGUUCCAGAUGUUUUUCCAGCUGUUUUCCAGCUGUUUUUCCAGCUGUGUUCCAGAUGUUUUUUCCAGCUGUGAUCCAGAUGUUUUUCCAGCUGUUUUUUCCAGCUGUUCUUUCCAGAUGUUUUUCCAGCUGUGUUCCAGCUGGUUUUUUUCCAGCUGUGAUCCAGAUGUUUUCCAGAUGUUCCUUCCAGAUGUUUUCCCAGCUGUUCCCAGCUGUUUCCUCCAGAUGUUGUUCCAGCUGUGUUCCAGAUGUUUUUUCCCGCUGUCGUUCUCCAGCUGUCCCCCAGCUGUUCCCCAGCUGUUGUUCCCCCGCUGUCGUUCCCCAGCUGUUCUCCAGCUGUUGUUCUCCAGCUGUUGUUCCCCCGCUGUCGUUCUCCAGCUGUUCCCCAGCUGUUCUCCAGCUGUUGUUCCCCCGCUGUCGUUCCCCAGCUGUUCGAGUACCGCUGGGUGCAGGGUCCCCUGCUGGACAAUUCCAGCCGCAGAUUCCCGGGCUGUGUCCGAUCCGGCGCCCGCCUGGCCCCGGCGCUGUCCCCGGCCUUCGAGCUGCGCCGCUGGGAUUCCCGGGAAUUCUCCACCUGGACCGAGAGCCGCUGGAAGGAGAUCCGGGCUCGCCUCUUCCUGGUGGCCAGCAGGGAGCUGGAGGUGCCGCGGGGAUCCUUCCCCAAUUCCCUGAUUCCCGGAAUUCCCCAAAUUCCCAAAUCUCCGAUCCUCAAAAUCCCAAAUUUCCCAGCCCCAGAUCCCAAACUCCCGAUCCCAAAUUCCCCCAAUUCCCCCAUUCCAAAUCCCCUCCAAAAUCCCGGAAUUCCCAAAUCCCCAGCCCCAAUUCCCAAUGCCCAAAUUCCCAAUUUCCCAGCCCCAGAUCCCAAACUCCCAAUCCCAAAUUCCCAAUGCCCAAUUCCCCCAAUUCCCCCAUUCCAAAUCCCCUUCAAAUCCCAGAAUUCCCAAAUCCCCAAACCUUCAAAUCCCCAAAUCCCAAAUCCCCCAAAUCCCAGAAUUCCCAAAUCCCCAAUUCCCCAAAUCCUGGAAUUCCCAAAUCCCCAAAUCAAAAACCUCCAAAUCCCCAAAUCCCCCAAUCCCAAAUCCCCC